AUUCUACACAUUAAGAGAAGAACUAGGCCGGAAUACUAUUAAUAGCACCAAUGAUUUGGUGCUAUUAAGUUUUCUGUCCUUAGAUUAAAAGAUCUGCUGUUAGAAUGAUGUAGGCUCCCUAGGGUUGAGUGGGUGGUUGGUUGAAUAGUAUAAUCGAACGGAUGAAAAUGAUAAAAGAGGUAAAUCUAACGGCAGAAAACUUUAUAACACCAAAUACUUUGUGCUAUCGAUAGUAUUCCAACCGGACUCUUAAGAGAAUAUAUAUAUAUAUAUAUAUAGAGAGAGAGAGAGAGAGAGAGAGAGAGAGAGCUAGUCUCCUAUACUAUCUAUACUACCGGGGCUCGGGUACUAUAGUCUUGUUUUCGAUUUUAGGGUGUUCAAAUCAACGAUACACACUGUUAAAACUGAUCUAGGAUAUUUAAAGUUUUUAGAAAUAAAAUUUUAUAUUUUUUCGACAUAGUUUACUUUAUGAUCAAAUCAUUUCAAAAUUGUCAAUUUUCAAUGGCUACUAUGACGAGUUUGGAGUUUAACGGUGUAGAAGAAUCUAAAUUUUUUCAAAUUUUGAUAGAAAAUACUUUAAACUAUUUAGAUUAAGGUUAAUAUUCUUGAUUUUGAAUUUAAAAAUCUCAUGCUUAAAUUUUAAAGAUUAUUCAAUUUUCACCGUCCAUUUUGACAUAAUUUAUUUACUAAGUAAAUGAUGUCGAAAAAAACUAAAAUUUUAUUCCUAAAAACUUCAUAAACCCUAGAUCAUAUUUAACGGUGUAGAUCGUUAAUUUGAACACUCUAAAAUCGAAAACAAAACUAUAGUAUCGAAGCUCCGGUACUAUAAAUAGUAUAGUAGCCUAAUUCUCUCUCUCUCUCUCCNAGCAUCAUGCAUUUGGUGCUAUCAAAUUUUCUGCCAUUAGAUUUAACAUUUUAACUAUUUUCACCCGCUAAAUUAUACUAUUAAACCAACAAAUCACUCAAACCUAGAGGGCCUAUAUCAUCAUAACCGUACAUUUUUUAAUCCAAUGGCCGAAAACCUAAUAGCACCAAAUAUUUGGUGCUAUUGAUAGUAUUACAACCUUGGUCUAUAUAUAUAUAUAUAUACAUAUAUAUAUAUAUAUAUAUAUAUAUAUAUUCCGUACUAUCCUGAUAUUACCCGCUUGUGCUUGCAUGUACUUUUAUUUUAACGGGUUUUCUAGAUUUUGCUGCAAAAAUCUUAAAAACCUUUUUGAUAUUUGGAGACUAAAAAUAUAAUUACACCAAGUGAUAUCAAAAUAGUAGAAGGAUUGUACAUAUAUAAUAUGUAUAGAACUGUGCUAAAAUGUUAUUAAUAGCACUAAGUCAUUAUUGCUAUUAAAUUUUUCACUUUUGGAUGAAGCGAUGAACGGUUAAGAUAAUAGUAGUCCCCAAGAGUUUAGUAGGUGAUUGAUUAAAUAGUAUAUUUUAACGGAUAAAAAUGAUCAAAAAAGUAGAUCGAAGGGUGAAAAAUUUGGUGACACCAAAUGCUCGGUGUUAUUGGUAGUAUUAUAAACGGACUCUAUAUAUAUACAUUUU
RNAcentral lists this long non-coding RNA (1539 nucleotides) under Ananas comosus (pineapple). RNAcentral describes it as "long non-coding RNA (ACOM_LNC027506)". Lineage: Eukaryota; Viridiplantae; Streptophyta; Magnoliopsida; Poales; Bromeliaceae. The record is from RNAcentral.